UACGAAGGGGGCUAGCGUUGUUCGGAAUUACAGGGCGUAAAGCGCACGCAGGCGGAUUGGUAAGUCAGGGGUGAAAUCCCGGGGCUCAACCUCGGAAUUGCCUUUGAUACUGCCAAUCUUGAGUCCGGGAGAGGUGAGUGGAAUUCCUAGUGUAGAGGUGAAAUUCGUAGAUAUUAGGAAGAACACCAGUGGCGAAGGCGGCUCACUGGCCCGGUACUGACGCUCAGGUGCGAAAGCGUGGGGAGCAAACAGG
RNAcentral lists this ribosomal RNA (253 nucleotides) under uncultured bacterium. RNAcentral describes it as "partial 16S ribosomal RNA". It matches the Rfam family "Bacterial small subunit ribosomal RNA", at positions 524 to 776 of the family's 1533-position model. The record is from RNAcentral.